GCUGGGCGAGGUGGCACGUGCCUGUAGUCCCAGCUACUCAGGAGGCUGAGGUGGGAGGAUCGCUUGAGCCCAGGAGUUCUGGGCUGUAGUGCACUAUGCCGAUCGGGUGUCUGCACUAAAUUCGGCAUCAAUAUGGUGACCUCUCAGGAGUGAGGGACCACCAGGUUGCCUAAGAAGGGGUGACCCGGCCCAGGUCAGAAACGGAGCAGGUCAAAAUUCCCAUGCUGAUCAGUCAUGGGAUUGUGCCUGGGAGCAGCCACUGCACUCCAGCCUGGGCAACAUAGUGAGACCCCGUCUCU
This 299-nucleotide signal recognition particle RNA is filed under the name Cebus imitator (Panamanian white-faced capuchin). RNAcentral's name for it is "Metazoan signal recognition particle RNA (ENSCCAG00000003272.1)". It matches the Rfam family "Metazoan signal recognition particle RNA". From Rfam's summary of the family: The signal recognition particle (SRP) is a universally conserved ribonucleoprotein. It is involved in the co-translational targeting of proteins to membranes. The record is from RNAcentral. Lineage: Eukaryota; Metazoa; Chordata; Mammalia; Primates; Cebidae.